Small nuclear RNA from Phodopus roborovskii (desert hamster), 164 nucleotides. RefSeq annotates it as U1 spliceosomal RNA. NCBI's taxonomy places the organism in Eukaryota, Metazoa, Chordata, Mammalia, Rodentia, Cricetidae. The record is from RefSeq and is a predicted model, not a curated record. The transcript has a single exon.
AAAUCUGCUUGGCAGGGGUGAUACCAUGAUCAAGUAGGUGGUUUUCCCAGGGUGAGGUCCACCCAUUGCAUCUGCUGUGUGCUGUCCCCUGCGAUUUCCCCAAAUGCAGGGAAACUCGACUGCAUAAUUUGUGGUAUGGGGGACUGCAUUCAUGAUCUCUCCUU